GACGAACGCUGGCGGCGUGCUUAACACAUGCAAGUCGAACGGAAAGGCCCUGCUUAUGUGGGGUGCUCGAGUGGCGAACGGGUGAGUAACACGUGAGUCACCUGCCCUUGACUUCGGGAUAACUUCAGGAAACUGGGGCUAAUACCGGAUAGGAGCUCCUGCUGCAUGGUGGGGGUUGGAAAGUUUCGGCGGAUGGGGAUGGACUCGCGGCUUAUCAGUUUGUUGGUGGGGUAGUGGCUUACCAAGGCUUUGACGGGUAGCCGGCCUGGGAGGGUGACCGGCCACAUUGGGACUGAGAUACGGCCCAGACUCCUUCGGGAGGCAGCAGUGGAGAAUAGUGCACGAUGGGCGGAAGCCUGAUGCAGCAACGCCGCGUGCGGGAUGACGGCCGUCGGGUUGUAAAGCGCUUACGCCUGUUAUGAAGCGUGAGUGACGGUAAUAGGUAAAGAAGCACCGGCUAACUACGUG
This 468-nucleotide ribosomal RNA is filed under the name uncultured bacterium. RNAcentral describes it as "partial 16S ribosomal RNA". It matches the Rfam family "Bacterial small subunit ribosomal RNA", at positions 28 to 507 of the family's 1533-position model. The record is from RNAcentral.